UAUGGAAGGCAGCAGUGGGGAAUAUUGCACAAUGGGCGAAAGCCUGAUGCAGCUAUGCCGCGUGUAUGAAGAAGGCCUUAGGGUUGUAAAGUACUUUCAUCGGGGAGGAAAAAACAAAACUAAUAAUUUUAUUUCUUGACGUUACCCGAAAAAGAAGCACCGGCUAACUCCGUGCCAGCAGCCGCGGUAAUACGGAGGGUGCUAGCGUUAAUCAGAAUUACUGGGCGUAAAGAGCACGUAGGUGGUUUUUUUAAGUCAGAUGUGAAAUCCCUGGGCUUAACCUGGAACUGCAUUUUGAAACUGAAAUACUAGAGUAUCGUAGAGGGAGGUAGAAUUCUAGGUGUAGCGGUGAAAUGCGUAGAUAUCUGGAGGAAUACCUGUGGCGAAAGCGGCCUCCUAAACGAAUACUGACACUGAGGUGCGAAAGCGUGGGGAGCAAACAGGGAUUAGAUACC
RNAcentral lists this ribosomal RNA (455 nucleotides) under uncultured bacterium. RNAcentral describes it as "bacterial SSU rRNA". It matches the Rfam family "Bacterial small subunit ribosomal RNA", at positions 340 to 786 of the family's 1533-position model. The record is from RNAcentral.